GUGAAGCUUUAGGGCCUGAGCCAUACGGACCGCAAGGUCUCUGGCCGCCCGACACACUAUAUAUCCUACCAACCCGUGUGCACCGCAAGGAGGACAGAGACAUGACAGUGUCUGCUGCCUCCGUCUCUACACAAACUCGUAUGGUUGUAUGAACGUAUGAAGCCGUUGGACCGUCACUGGCCAACAAACUUAUACA
RNAcentral lists this unclassified non-coding RNA (196 nucleotides) under uncultured fungus. RNAcentral's name for it is "sequence contains ITS1, 5.8S rRNA gene". The record is from RNAcentral. Lineage: Eukaryota; Fungi.